RNAcentral lists this ribosomal RNA (441 nucleotides) under uncultured bacterium. Its description in RNAcentral is "partial 16S ribosomal RNA". It matches the Rfam family "Bacterial small subunit ribosomal RNA", at positions 338 to 795 of the family's 1533-position model. The record is from RNAcentral.
CCUACGGGUGACAGCAGUGGGGAAUAUUGCACAAUGGGGGGAACCCUGAUGCAGCGACGCCGCGUGGGUGAAGGAGUAUUUCGGUAUGUACAGCCCUAUCAGCAGGGAAGAACAAUGACGGUACCUGACUAAGAAGCACCGGCUAAAUACGUGCCAGCAGCCGCGGUAAUACGUAUGGUGCAAGCGUUAUCCGGAUUUACUGGGUGUAAAGGGAGCGCAGGCGGCGCGUUAAGCCUGGUGUGAAAGUCCGCGGCCCAACCGCGGGACUGCAUUGGGAACUGGCGCGCUGGAGUGCCGGAGGGGUAGGCGGAAUUCCUAGUGUAGCGGUGAAAGGCGUAGAUAUUAGGAGGAACACCAGUGGCGAAGGCGGCCUACUGGACGGUGACUGACGCUGAGGCUCGAAAGCGUGGGGAGCAAACAGGAUUAGAUACCACAGUAGUC